UGAGCCUGAAGACCUGUUGUAAGGUGA
This 27-nucleotide non-coding RNA is filed under the name Homo sapiens (human). The record is from RNAcentral. Lineage: Eukaryota; Metazoa; Chordata; Mammalia; Primates; Hominidae.